This 817-nucleotide ribosomal RNA is filed under the name Winogradskyella sp. D58-H08. RNAcentral's name for it is "bacterial SSU rRNA". It matches the Rfam family "Bacterial small subunit ribosomal RNA", at positions 30 to 836 of the family's 1533-position model. Lineage: Bacteria; Pseudomonadati; Bacteroidota; Flavobacteriia; Flavobacteriales; Flavobacteriaceae. The record is from RNAcentral.
GUAACGUCUAUAGCGGCAGGCCUAACACAUGCAAGUCGAACGGUAAGCAUUUGCUAGCUUGCUAGAAGAUGACGAGUGGCGCACGGGUGAGUAACGCGUAUACAAUCUACCUUAAACAGGGGGAUAGCCUUUAGAAAUGAAGAUUAAUAUCCCAUAGUAAUUUAGAGUUGCAUGAUUUUAAAUUUAAAGUUUCGGCGGUAAAAGAUGAGUAUGCGUUCUAUUAGUUAGUUGGUAAGGUAACGGCUUACCAAGACAGCGAUAGAUAGGGGCCCUGAGAGGGGGAUCCCCCACACUGGUACUGAGACACGGACCAGACUAACUACGGGAGGCAGCAGUGAGGAAUAUUGGACAAUGGGCGAGAGCCUGAUCCAGCCAUGCCGCGUGCAGGAAGACUGCCCUAUGGGUUGUAAACUGCUUUUAUACAGGAAGAAACCUUUUCACGUGUGAAAAGCUGACGGUACUGUAAGAAUAAGGAUCGGCUAACUCCGUGCCAGCAGCCGCGGUAAUACGGAGGAUCCAAGCGUUAUCCGGAAUCAUUGGGUAUAAAGGGUCCGUAGGUGGAUAAUUAAGUCAGGGGUGAAAGUUUGCAGCUCAACUGUAAAAUCGCCUUUGAUACUGGUUAUCUUGAAUUAUUGUGAAGUGGUAAGAAUAUGUAGUGUAGCGGUGAAAUGCAUAGAUAUUACAUAGACUACCAAUUGCGAAGGCAGAUCACUAACACUAUAUUGACACUGAUAGACGAAAGCGUGGGGAGCGAACAGGAUUAGAUACCAUNGUAGUCACGCCGUAACGAUGGAUACUAGCUGGUCGGGUUUCGGAC